Molecule: ribosomal RNA, 463 nt
Filed under: uncultured Sphingopyxis sp.
Lineage: Bacteria; Pseudomonadati; Pseudomonadota; Alphaproteobacteria; Sphingomonadales; Sphingopyxidaceae
Description: bacterial SSU rRNA
Rfam family: Bacterial small subunit ribosomal RNA
Source: RNAcentral
AACGAACGCUGGCGGCAUGCCUAACACAUGCAAGUCGAACGAGAUCUUCGGAUCUAGUGGCGCACGGGUGCGUAAACGCGUGGGAAUCUGCCCUUGGGUACGGAAUAACUCACCGAAAGGUGUGCUAAUACCGUAUAAUGACUACGGUCCAAAGAUUUAUCGCCCAAGGAUGAGCCCGCGUAAGAUUAGCUUGUUGGUGAGUAAAAGCUCACCAAGGCGACGAUCUUUAGCUGGUCUGAGAGGAUGAUCAGCCACACUGGGACUGAGACACGGCCCAGACUCCUACGGGAGGCAGCAGUGGGAAUAUUGGACAAUGGGCGAAAGCCUGAUCCAGCAAUGCCGCGUGAGUGAUGAAGGCCUUAGGGUUGUAAAGCUCUUUUACCAGGGAUGAUAAUGACAGUACCUGGAGAAUAAGCUCCGGCUAACUCCGUGCCAGCAGCCGCGGUAAUACGGAGGGAGCUAG